Molecule: long non-coding RNA, 395 nt
Filed under: Capra hircus (goat)
Lineage: Eukaryota; Metazoa; Chordata; Mammalia; Artiodactyla; Bovidae
Description: lncRNA (ENSCHIG00010028971.1)
Source: RNAcentral
GCGAAGGUCACCAAAUGUCAAGUGGGGCCCUGAGGACUCUAAAGAGCGUUUAAGUGGCUCUUGACGUCUGCCUACUUCUUAGAGUUGUGGCUCUGACCUUUGCUUUAUGUGUUGGCUUGGCAUGAGAAUUUGACUUGUCUUUGGUCCUGUGCCCACCCCUUUGGCUAAAGUGGACAGGUCUCUGGACUGGAUAGCCCAUGGAUGAUGUGUGCAGUGAUGGAGGAGACCUUCUAGAGGACAUUGUUUCUGCUACUGGAAUAAGAUAUAAAAGCACUCUCCAGAUAGACAUGGACUAAACGUAAAAGGGAGAACCAUGAAGGAGGCUGACUUCACAGCCCAGAAGAAGGGAAGGAUAUUUUAAGCAAGGCCUUCAAAACAGAUAAGUCAGAAGAGCC